RNAcentral lists this ribosomal RNA (419 nucleotides) under uncultured bacterium. Its description in RNAcentral is "bacterial SSU rRNA". It matches the Rfam family "Bacterial small subunit ribosomal RNA", at positions 358 to 769 of the family's 1533-position model. The record is from RNAcentral.
GGAAUCUUCGGCAAUGGGGGCAACCCUGACCGAGCAACGCCGCGUGAGUGAAGAAGGUUUUCGGAUCGUAAAUCUCUGUCGUUAGAGAAGAACGGUAAUGGGAGUGGAAAAUCCAUUACGUGACGGUAACUAACCAGAAAGGGACGGCUAACUACGUGCCAGCCGCCGCGGUAAUACGUAGGUCUCGAGCGUUGUCCGGAUUUAUUGGGCGUAAAGCGAGCGCAGGCGGUUAUUGAAGUCUGAAGUUAAAGGCCGUGGCUCAACCAUGGUGCGCUUUGGAAACUGGAUAACUUGAGUGCAGAAGGGGAGAGUGGAAUCCCAUGUGUAGCGGUGAAAUGCGUAGAUAUAUGGAGGAACACCGGUGGCGAAAGCGGCUCUCUGGUCUGUAACUGACGCUGAGGCUCGAAAGCGUGGGGAGC